This is a long non-coding RNA of Nerophis ophidion (straightnose pipefish), 622 nucleotides long. RefSeq lists it as uncharacterized. The transcript has 2 exons. NCBI's taxonomy places the organism in Eukaryota, Metazoa, Chordata, Actinopteri, Syngnathiformes, Syngnathidae. The record is from RefSeq and is a predicted model, not a curated record.
GUUGGUAUUUUUGUGUCUAACGAUGUUGUACUUAUGUUGGGCGAAUCUCCUAGUCAAGGUAUUGCCCGUCUCGCCUACGUACAUUACGCCACAUCGUUGACAUCUAAUAACAUACACACAAUUUUUGGUGUGUAGUCCGCCACGACACAACGGCUGGAAAACCUUGCGGUUCUGGGGGUUCACAAACCAUGGCGCGUAGCGGACUAGGGCGUCCCUCCGGGUGGAGGGCGGGUCCCCCAAUGAACUGACCCUGGCCCUGACCAACAUAUCAUUCAAGUUGGGGUUCUUCCGCCGCAGGAGAGUAGGUGGUGAUAAGAGGAAUCAUGUCCGUACCAGGAGGAGGUGCCCUCGGGUCCAGGAAGACCCUCAUCUGUCUUCUGAGGAAGGACCUGGAGUAGCCCCUCCCCUUCAGAGCAGUGAAGAGGGCCCUCGAGGCCGCCAAGAAGUCCUCCUGCCUAGUACAAAUCCUAUGAAACCUAAGUAACUGCGAUUUCACCAGCCCCGCAAAGGUGUGCUUGGGGUGGAAGCUGCUUUUGUAGAGGAGCGCAUGGGUGUCCGUCUCCUUGAAGAACACUUUUAUGUCCAAAAGUUGCGUUUUGGCAAAAUUCGGACCCUUGAAUGU